Molecule: small nuclear RNA, 109 nt
Organism: Suncus etruscus (white-toothed pygmy shrew)
Lineage: Eukaryota; Metazoa; Chordata; Mammalia; Eulipotyphla; Soricidae
Source: RefSeq, a predicted model, not a curated record
GUGGUUCAAGUAGCACAGAUACUAAAAUUGAAGCAAUAUAGAGAUUAUAUAGAGAAGUAUGGCCCUGCACAUGAAUAACACACAAAUUCGUGAAGCAUUUCAUAUUCUU